GUGAAUCAUCGAAUUUUUGAACGCAAACUGCACUCUCCGGUUUUCCGGGAGAGUAUGCCUGUUUGAGGGUCCGUUUAAAAAAUAAUCGAGGCUGCUGCUGUGGUGGCUCUUCGGAAUUGGGUCAUCUUUCACCUUUCGGUUGUAAGCGACCUAAAAUUUUUUUUUAGAAUUCUUCGAAAGGUUUUAAAAAAUUCUUUUACGUUUACG
This 207-nucleotide unclassified non-coding RNA is filed under the name Glomus sp. RNAcentral describes it as "partial contains 5.8S ribosomal RNA and internal transcribed spacer 2". The stretch from base 1 to 72 matches the Rfam family "5.8S ribosomal RNA", at positions 84 to 154 of the family's 154-position model. The record is from RNAcentral. Lineage: Eukaryota; Fungi; Glomeromycota; Glomeromycetes; Glomerales; Glomeraceae.